Molecule: unclassified non-coding RNA, 202 nt
Filed under: Hevea brasiliensis (rubber tree)
Lineage: Eukaryota; Viridiplantae; Streptophyta; Magnoliopsida; Malpighiales; Euphorbiaceae
Source: RNAcentral
AUCAUUGCUGGUUCUGUGAUAUUGGGUAUAAUCAUGCCAUUGUUCUUUUACAUAUGGAGGAGAAAUCUUAGAAAACAUGGUAUGGCAAAUAGAAGUUUUGAAAGAAAUGACUACAUUACUGAAGGUCGGAAAGAAGACAUGGAGUUGCAAUUUUUUAACCUGAACACGAUAUCUGAAGCUACUAAUAGUUUUUCAAGCAGCA